Molecule: ribosomal RNA, 1100 nt
Filed under: uncultured bacterium
Lineage: Bacteria
Description: bacterial SSU rRNA
Rfam family: Bacterial small subunit ribosomal RNA
Source: RNAcentral
UGCUUGGGGAGGAGCCUGCGUUCUAUCAGCUUGUUGGUAGUGUAAUAGACUACCAAGGCUAUGACGGAUAACUGGUCUGAGAGGAUGAUCAGUCACAAUGAAACUGAGACACGGUUCAUACUCCUACGGGAGGCAGCAGUGAGGAAUCUUCCACAAUGGGCGAAAGCCUGAUGGAGCGACACCGCGUGAAGGAUGACGGUCUAACGAUUGUAAACUUCUUUUCUGAGGGAGAAUAAUGAUAGUACCUCAGGAGUAAGGGACGGCUAAUUACGUGCCAGCAGCCGCGGUAAUACGUAAGUCCCAAGCGUUACCCGGAAUUAUUGGGUGUAAAGGGUCCGUAGGUGGGCCUAUAAGUCAGGUAUGAAAGACCGGAGCUCAACUCCGUGUUUGUGCUUGAAACUGUAGGCCUAGAAUCAGGGAGAGGUUAGCGGAAUUCUUAGUGUAGGGGUGCAAUCCGUAGAUACUAAGAAGAACACCAAAAGCGAAGGCAGCUAACUGGAACUCGAUUGACACUGAGGGACGAAAGCGUGGGGAGCGAAGAGGAUUAGAUACCCUCGUAGUCCACGCCCUAAACGAUGAUAACUAAGUGUUGCAUGUAGAUGCAGUGCUGUAGCUAACGCGUUAAGUUAUCCACCUGAGGAGUACGGUCGCAAGAUUAAAACUCAAAGGAAUAGACGGGGACCCACACAAGCAGUGGAUCACGUGGUUUAAUUCGACAAUAAACGGGGAAUCUCACCCAGACUUGACAUCCUGAGAAUCUUCUAGAAAUAGAAGAGUGCCUUUACGGGAGCUCAGUGACAGGUGCUGCAUGGUUGUCGUCAGCUCGUGCCUUGAGGCGUUCGGUUAAGUCCGUUAACGAGCGCAACCCAUGUCCUUAGUUACUAUGUCUAAGGAGACUGCCUUGGUUAACAAGGAGGAAGGUGUGGAUGACGUCAAAUCAGCAUGGCUUUUACGUCUGGGGCUACACACAUGAUACAAUGGUAUGUACAAAGAGCAGCAAUACGGUAACGUGGAGCCAAUCUUAAAAGCAUAUCUCAGUCCGGAUUGAAGUCUGAAACUCGACUUCAUGAAGUUGGAAUUGCUAGUAAUCGUAAAUCAGA